AUUUCAGCCAAGAUCUAAAAAUGUGUACCUCUUAAAGUCGCUCUAGAAUAAAGUAUUGAUUUAAGUCAAACUGAUUUAUCCUCUGGGGAACCUGAAUGUCUAUAAAAUUUAGUAGAAGUGAUCCUAUCCAAGGAUUAUUUCAGUCAAAAACACAAACCUUAUAGAGCAGCAACAUGUAAAUUAGGGAGCGACACAAACUGGGAGCGGUGUAUCCCCUGAGGAUAGUAAAUAUUGGCAUCUAAUCAGUAGCGAUCGAUUGUUGGGCAAAAUUUUGGACCUGAUUAUGUAAAAAGAGGAAAUAAAAAUGAGGCAGGGAUGCAUCCUGAGGGGACCAUGAGUGUUUUUUUAAAGACUGAAUUGAAUAUUUUCUAUGACUGCACUUAAUUCAGUCAAAAACAAAAGUCACGUUGAGGCAAGAGGAUACAUAAGAGUUACCAAAUUCAUCCUCUGGGGACUCUGAUUGGACCAGGUUAGUCAGAUAUUUAUAGGGAAAAACAUGGAAGUCAAAAUCAAAGAAGUAAAAAGUGAAAAAUAAAAGAAUUAGUCCAAGUUUUUAGGGAACUUCCUCUGGGGACCAUGAACAAAUGUGUAAGAACUCAAAGACAAAUAGAUGAGAUUUGCCUCUUUGAGCCAAAUCUCAUCUAUUUCAGUCAAAAACAAAAGUCUUCACGUCAUGUUGAGGCUAGAGGAUACAUAAAAGUAACCAAAUUCAUUAGGGGGCAUCCUCUGGGGACUGUGAUUGGACCAGAUCAACAAGAUAUUUAAAGAGAAAAACAUGGAACUCAAACUUAAGGAA
Molecule: non-coding RNA, 796 nt
Organism: Xyrichtys novacula (pearly razorfish)
Lineage: Eukaryota; Metazoa; Chordata; Actinopteri; Labriformes; Labridae
Source: the annotation of a GenBank genome assembly